GCCAACAGCCACACCUGAAUGUGCCCGGUGGCGUCUAACCGCGGAAGCUAAGCAGGGCUGGGCCUGGUUAAUACCUGGAUGGAGAAGGACCGGGUGCUGGAGGCU
RNAcentral lists this ribosomal RNA (105 nucleotides) under Saimiri boliviensis boliviensis (Bolivian squirrel monkey). The record is from RNAcentral. Lineage: Eukaryota; Metazoa; Chordata; Mammalia; Primates; Cebidae.